GCCGGACCCCACUGCUAUCGGGAUAGGACUAAGACAUGCUAGUCGAGUGACUCAGGCAAAACGAGUCACGGCACACAGCUCAGUAACACGUGGCUAAUCUGCCCUUGGGACAAGAACAACCCCGGGAAACUGGGGCUAACUCUUGAUAGGCGAAGAACACUGGAAUGUGUCUUCACCCAAAAAACUUCACGUUAUCCUCGUGAAGUCGCCCAAGGAUGAGGCCGCGACCGAUCAGGUUGUUGGCGAGGUAAUGGCUCACCAAGCCUUUUACCGGUGCGGGCCGUGGGAGCGGGAGCCCGGAGAUGGGUACUGAGACAAGGACCCAGGCCCUACGGGGCGCAGCAGUCGCGAAAACUUUGCAAUAAGCGAAAGCUUGACAGGGCUAUCCCGAGUGCCAUCCGCUGAGGAAGGCUUUUACCCAGUCUAGAACGCUGGGGGAAUAAGGAGAGGGCAAGUCUGGUGUCAGCCGCCGCGGUAAUACCAGCUCUCCGAGUGGUGUGGAUGUUUAUUGGGCCUAAAGCAUCCGUAGCUGGCUAAGUUAGUCCCUUGUUAAAUCCACCGAAUUAAUCGUUGGAUUGCGGGGGAUACUGCUUGGCUAGGGGACGAGAGAGGCAGACGGUAUUUUCGGGGUAGGGGUGAAAUCCUAUAAUCCCGGGAAGACCACCAGUGGCGAAGGCUGUCUGCUAGAACGCGCCCGACGGUGAGGGAUGAAAGCUGGGGGAGCGAACCGGAUUAGAUACCCGGGUAGUCCCAGCUGUAAACGAUGCAGGCUAGGUGUUUGGACGGCCACGUGCCGUUCUAGUGCCGCAGGGAAGCUGUUAAGCCUGCCGCCUGGGGAGUACGAUCGCAAGAUUGAAACUUAA
Molecule: ribosomal RNA, 863 nt
Filed under: archaeon enrichment culture clone K15_3131
Lineage: Archaea
Description: bacterial SSU rRNA
Rfam family: Archaeal small subunit ribosomal RNA
Source: RNAcentral